This 216-nucleotide ribosomal RNA is filed under the name Discothyrea sexarticulata. Its description in RNAcentral is "partial large subunit ribosomal RNA". Lineage: Eukaryota; Metazoa; Arthropoda; Insecta; Hymenoptera; Formicidae. The record is from RNAcentral.
GAAUUUUAUAAAUAUUUAUAUUAAGAAAAAUAAAUUUAUAAAAAAUUGUAAAUAUUUAUUUAAUUGGGAGGAUUAUUAAAUUUAAUAAACUUUAAUAAAAAAUUACAAAUAUAUUUGAUUUAAGGAAUUAAUAAAAUAAUUUAUUUUAAUAGAAAAAUUACCUUAGGGAUAACAGCGUAAAAUUAUUGGAUAGAUCAUAUAAAAAAUAUUGUUUGC